UACGUAGGGUGCAAGCGUUGUCCGGAUUUAUUGGGCGUAAAGAGCUCGUAGGCGGUUUGUCGCGUCUGCUGUGAAAACCCGAGGCUCAACUUCGGGCCUGCAGUGGGUACGGGCAGACUAGAGUGCGGUAGGGGAGAUUGGAAUUCCUGGUGUAGCGGUGGAAUGCGCAGAUAUCAGGAGGAACACCAAUGGCGAAGGCAGAUCUCUGGGCCGUAACUGACGCUGAGGAGCGAAAGCAUGGGGAGCGAACAGG
This 253-nucleotide ribosomal RNA is filed under the name uncultured bacterium. RNAcentral describes it as "partial 16S ribosomal RNA". It matches the Rfam family "Bacterial small subunit ribosomal RNA", at positions 524 to 776 of the family's 1533-position model. The record is from RNAcentral.